ACAUCAGCUGGGGCAGAAUAAAAAAUUACUAAAAAAAAAUCUUCUCAAAAUUACGGAAAUCGAGCGGCGGCGGCGGCGGCGGCUCCCCCCGCCCGCCGGCCCGCCCGCCCCCUCCCCGGCUCCCCGGCCCCGGGCGCAGCGCGCAUGUGUCCUGCUAUAAUUAUGAUUAUCAAUAAUGCAUUGCGAUUAAUCAUAGAGGGGCUCUUUGAAAGGCGAUUGGCACCGGGCCAGCGCUAUUCAAACCCGCUCGCCUUAAUCAAUUAGUUCGUGAUUUGCUGCAGACCCCUGUCUCUCCGCGCGCUGGCCCAAUAAGCCGGCCGCGGGGCUGGCUCUGCGCGCCGCGCCGCCCGACACUGGGUUAACCCUCUUCGCGACCGCCCGGGACUCCGGGGCCCGGCCGCCGCCGGCCUUCCUCUUCGCCUGUGCGCGCCCGCGCCCCGGCCUGCGUUCCCCCCCCCCCCGACCCCCCCCAUCCCGGGCUGGGCCGACCCGAAUUAGCAUGCCCUCCCCGGAAUUAAGCCUCCCGAGUGGGGGGUGGGGCCGGGCGGCGGGGGCUGGAGACCCAGGCUGCGGGCGCUAGGCGAACUUCCCAACUCCGGCGCUAGGCGCGCCGGCCCGCGGGGGGAGGGAGUCCCGUGGCGGGAUUUGGGGGGAGGAAGUCCCGUUUCGUGAGUGUUUCUUCGUUUCUUUAAGAGCUACCAGAAAGCAGCCCACCCCCACCCCAUAAAAAAAAAAAAAGCGAGUGGGGAAGAGCCAGCCCCACGCCGGUCCGCCUACUGCCCGCGGCCCGGCCUCCCUCCCGCUCGCCGCCUGGCUCGGCGCUCCUUCGCCCCGAGUUCUCCAUCCCCUGGAUCGCGGGCUCGCGGGGGCGCGGAGAAGAGGACCGAGGAAAGGACUCUCUGGAAGCUGCUGGAUCUUUCAGGAAAUGGUGGUUAAACAGAGCUGGACACAUGGAUGCAGCAGAGUCCCUGCCCUCAAGAGGACUAUAGACUGGCCGGGGAGACAGGUGCGCACACAGCCUCGAAGCCUUCCCAGGGACUUCUGAGGACUAAACCUGGCAGGUUCACCAUACAUCCUGGCAGUUUCCUACACGUGGGUAUCUGCAGAAUCUCUGCCGUGCUCCAGACCUGGCACUGCGUGGUGGUGGCAGGCGCUCUGCGGAUUUCCAACUAGACAGUCUUACUCAUCUUCGCGGCAAUGGUACUCGAUCAAAGCAGGCCGAACUGACCAAGACCGUGCAGUUUCCAGAGGCUGCAGCCUUUCUGUUGAGCUUCCACAGAGAAGCCCUCACGUUCCCCACCAGGCUGGUCCGUCCCUGAGUGGGGAUUAGACACGCUUUUGUAACUGAUGUCGGAACCGGCCAGGAGCGAGGAGUAGAGACUUACCCCGAUUUCCUAUGGAGAUCUGGAACCAGUGCAGCUAAUAGGAGAAGAAGGGACAAAUGACAGAGGAACCACUCAACAGGCCAGGCGAGUGUGUUUAUGUCUUACGGACUGAAUGCUGGUCGACGUUGUGCAGGAUAGCGGUGCUGCGGAGCUGGCCCCAGGGCAGGAAAAUGGGGUCUCCACAGCCAGAGUGCUCCUAGGCACGGAAGCCAGGGAGACAAGGGGCAGCACGAUCCCAGGCUCUGUGCCCAAGCGCAACACAGUAUUUUCGAAGGUUUGGUUGGAUGAAUCAAGGCCAAGGUGAGGCUACGAAUAAACCCUAUUCCCGA
Molecule: long non-coding RNA, 1714 nt
Organism: Zalophus californianus (California sea lion)
Lineage: Eukaryota; Metazoa; Chordata; Mammalia; Carnivora; Otariidae
Exons: 3
Source: RefSeq, a predicted model, not a curated record